Molecule: ribosomal RNA, 363 nt
Filed under: uncultured organism
Description: bacterial SSU rRNA
Rfam family: Bacterial small subunit ribosomal RNA
Source: RNAcentral
GUAGGGCGCAAGCGUUAUCCGGAAUUAUUGGGCGUAAAGAGCUCGUAGGCGGUUUGUCGCGUCUGCCGUGAAAGUCCGGGGCUCAACUCCGGAUCUGCGGUGGGUACGGGCAGACUAGAGUGAUGUAGGGGAGACUGGAAUUCCUGGUGUAGCGGUGAAAUGCGCAGAUAUCAGGAGGAACACCGAUGGCGAAGGCAGGUCUCUGGGCAUUAACUGACGCUGAGGAGCGAAAGCAUGGGGAGCGAACAGGAUUAGAUACCCUGGUAGUCCAUGCCGUAAACGUUGGGCACUAGGUGUGGGGGACAUUCCACGUUUUCCGCGCCGUAGCUAACGCAUUAAGUGCCCCGCCUGGGGAGUACGGCC